GGAAAUUCACGAUUUAAUAAAUACUGAGAUUCAUGAAGAAUCCAUUGAGCCCGAGACUCAGGAAGAUAAGGAACUAUCAAUAAAUCCAAUCGAUAUUGAGACAAAUUUUAAUCGAGUGGAUAUAGUGGUGGAUUAUGUCUUUGCAUAUAAUGUUGCAUCUAGCAUUAUGCAAGAAAGUGAGGAUCUUGAACCUCAAUCUG
This 200-nucleotide long non-coding RNA is filed under the name Nicotiana benthamiana. RNAcentral's name for it is "long non-coding RNA (NBEN_LNC007771)". The record is from RNAcentral. Lineage: Eukaryota; Viridiplantae; Streptophyta; Magnoliopsida; Solanales; Solanaceae.